This 465-nucleotide ribosomal RNA is filed under the name Vreelandella stevensii. RNAcentral's name for it is "partial 16S ribosomal RNA". It matches the Rfam family "Bacterial small subunit ribosomal RNA", at positions 338 to 795 of the family's 1533-position model. The record is from RNAcentral. Lineage: Bacteria; Pseudomonadati; Pseudomonadota; Gammaproteobacteria; Oceanospirillales; Halomonadaceae.
CCUACGGGUGGCUGCAGUGGGGAAUAUUGGACAAUGGGCGAAAGCCUGAUCCAGCCAUGCCGCGUGUGUGAAGAAGGCCUUCGGGUUGUAAAGCACUUUCAGUGGGGAAGAAAGCCUUGGGGCUAAUACCCUCGAGGAAGGACAUCACCCACAGAAGAAGCACCGGCUAACUCCGUGCCAGCAGCCGCGGUAAUACGGAGGGUGCGAGCGUUAAUCGGAAUUACUGGGCGUAAAGCGCGCGUAGGCGGUCUGAUAAGCCGGUUGUGAAAGCCCCGGGCUCAACCUGGGAACGGCAUCCGGAACUGUUAGGCUAGAGUGCAGGAGAGGAAGGUAGAAUUCCCGGUGUAGCGGUGAAAUGCGUAGAGAUCGGGAGGAAUACCAGUGGCGAAGGCGGCCUUCUGGACUGACACUGACGCUGAGGUGCGAAAGCGUGGGUAGCAAACAGGAUUAGAUACCCCAGUAGUC